RNAcentral lists this ribosomal RNA (759 nucleotides) under uncultured archaeon. RNAcentral's name for it is "bacterial SSU rRNA". It matches the Rfam family "Archaeal small subunit ribosomal RNA", at positions 115 to 879 of the family's 1478-position model. The record is from RNAcentral.
UCGGGUAAGGGAGGUAACCCCGGAAACUGGGGAUAAUACCUCAUAGACCAGGGAUGCUGGAAUGCUUUCUGGUCGAAAGGUCCGCCGCCUCAGGAUGGGUCUGCGGCCGAUUAGGUUGUUAUUGGGGUAACGGCCCAACAAGCCUUUGAUCGGUACGGGUUGUGGGAGCAAGAGCCCGGAGAUGGAUUCUGAGACACGAAUCCAGGCCCUACGGGGCGCAGCAGGCGCUAAAACUUUACAAUGCGAGAAAUCGUGAUAAGGGAACCCCGAGUGCCCGUAAAUCCGGGCUGUCCAUCAGUGUAAAUAACUGGUGAAGAAAGGGCCGGGCAAGACCGGUGCCAGCCGCCGCGGUAAUACCGGCGGCUCGAGUGGUGGCCGCUAUUACUGGGCUUAAAGCGUUCGUAGCUGGGCUGUUAAGUCCCCUGGGAAAUCCACCGGCUCAACCGAUGGGCGUUCAGGGGAUACUGGCAGCCUAGGGACCGGGAGAGGUGAGGGGUACUCCAGGGGUAGGAGUGAAAUCCUGUAAUCCUUGGGGGACCACCUGUGGCGAAGGCGUCUCACUAGAACGGCUCCGACAGUGAGGAACGAAAGCUGGGGAGCAAACCGGAUUAGAUACCCGGGUAGUCCCAGCUGUAAACGAUGCGCGUUAGGUGUAUCGGUGACCACGAGUCACCGAGGUGCCGAAGAGAAAUCGUGAAACGUGCCGCCUGGGAAGUACGGUCGCAAGGCUGAAACUUAAAGGAAUUGGCGGGGGAGCAC